RNAcentral lists this ribosomal RNA (301 nucleotides) under uncultured bacterium. RNAcentral's name for it is "partial 16S ribosomal RNA". It matches the Rfam family "Bacterial small subunit ribosomal RNA", at positions 509 to 807 of the family's 1533-position model. The record is from RNAcentral.
CAGCCGCCGCGGUAAUACGUAGGGUGCGAGCGUUAAUCGGAAUUACUGGGCGUAAAGCGUGCGCAGGCGGUUGUGUAAGACAGGUGUGAAAUCCCCGGGCUUAACCUGGGAACUGCGCUUGUGACUGCACAGCUAGAGUAUGGCAGAGGGGGGUGGAAUUCCACGUGUAGCAGUGAAAUGCGUAGAGAUGUGGAGGAACACCGAUGGCGAAGGCAGCCCCCUGGGCCAAUACUGACGCUCAUGCACGAAAGCGUGGGAAGCAAACAGGAUUAGAUACCCCUGUAGUCCAUGUCUCUUAUAC